Long non-coding RNA from Hyaena hyaena (striped hyena), 515 nucleotides. RefSeq lists it as uncharacterized. NCBI's taxonomy places the organism in Eukaryota, Metazoa, Chordata, Mammalia, Carnivora, Hyaenidae. The transcript has 3 exons. The record is from RefSeq and is a predicted model, not a curated record.
AAAAGGGAAAAACAUCACUGCUGUUAUUGUCCUAGACGUCAUCUGUAUCGCCAUCACGGGAAACACACUGUGCUUAAUGGGCUCAGUGUCAUCACCAGCGCUUUACACACACAUUGACUAAUCUAACCCGCACGAGCACAUGACAAAGUGCUCCUAGGUUCUAGGAUUUGAAGAUAAAGCGGACACAGUUCCUAACAUUAAAGUAUCACUGGUUAGAAUAUGAACACAGUUAAGAGGCAAAAGUGGAAGUUAACUCCGGAUAUAAUGUGAACACAAAAGAAGAAGUGCUUAUGUCUACUGAAGAGUAAAGGAGGAAUACAGAAAAGACAUGACCCUCACCUGGGUAUUCUGCAACUUAGUGUAUGUCCCAGAGCCGUCACUCUUCUUGGAAGAUGGAGGCUGGAGAAAUCAGAAUACUUUUUACACAACAUAUCAAAGUACAGCUAAACAAUUUAACAUAAAUAUCUGGACACUGAAAGUUAUGCUUAAUGAAGUAAAAUACCUGAGCCAACACG